UACGGGGGGUGCUAACGUUGUCCGGAAUUACUGGGCGUAAAGAGCAUGUAGGUGGUUCUGUAAGUUGACGAUGAAAGACCGACGCUUAACGUCGGAAACGUUUUUCAAUACUGCAGAACUUGAGGAAAACAGGGGUAAGCGGAACUUUCGGUGUAGGAGUGAAAUCCGUAGAUAUCGAAAGGAACACCAAUGGCGAAGGCAGCUUACUGGGUUUUACCUGACACUGAGAUGCGA
Molecule: ribosomal RNA, 234 nt
Filed under: uncultured bacterium
Lineage: Bacteria
Description: partial 16S ribosomal RNA
Rfam family: Bacterial small subunit ribosomal RNA
Source: RNAcentral